UACGUAGGUGACGAGCGUUAUCCGGAUUUACUGGGCGUAAAGCGCUUGUAGGUGGUUGCGUAAGUUGGACGUUAAAUCUCUGGGCUCAACUCAGAGAGGCCGUUCAAUACUGCGUGACUAGAGGAUGUCAGAGGAAGGUGGAAUUCCAGGUGUAGUAGUGAAAUGCGUAGAUAUCUGGAGGAACACCCAUGGCGAAGGCAGCCUUCUGGGGCAUUCCUGACACUGAGAAGCGAAAGCUAGGGGAGCAAACAGG
RNAcentral lists this ribosomal RNA (253 nucleotides) under uncultured bacterium. Its description in RNAcentral is "partial 16S ribosomal RNA". It matches the Rfam family "Bacterial small subunit ribosomal RNA", at positions 524 to 776 of the family's 1533-position model. The record is from RNAcentral.